This 253-nucleotide ribosomal RNA is filed under the name uncultured bacterium. RNAcentral's name for it is "partial 16S ribosomal RNA". It matches the Rfam family "Bacterial small subunit ribosomal RNA", at positions 524 to 776 of the family's 1533-position model. The record is from RNAcentral.
UACGGAGGGUGCAAGCGUUGCUCGGAAUUAUUGGGCGUAAAGGGGAGGUAGGUGGUCUCAUUUGUCGGGGGUGAAAGCCUUGAGCUUAACUCAAGAAGUGCCCCUGAAACGGUGAGACUGGAGUCCCAGAGAGGCUUGUGGAAUUCCCGGUGUAGCGGUGAAAUGCGUAGAGAUCCGGAAGAACACCGGUGGCGAAGGCGGCCUGCUGGGCUAUGGCUGACACUGAGGCGCGACAGCGUGGGGAGCAAACAGG